Molecule: ribosomal RNA, 497 nt
Filed under: uncultured bacterium
Lineage: Bacteria
Description: partial 16S ribosomal RNA
Rfam family: Bacterial small subunit ribosomal RNA
Source: RNAcentral
GAUGAACGCUGGCGGCGUGCCUAAUACAUGCAAGUCGAGCGAACGGACGAGAAGCUUGCUUCUCUGAUGUUAGCGGCGGACGGGUGAGUAACACGUGGAUAACCUACCUAUAAGACUGGGAUAACUUCGGGAAACCGGAGCUAAUACCGGAUGAUAUUUUGAACUGCAUGGUUCAAAAGUGAAAGACGGUCUUGCUGUCACUUAUAGAUGGAUACGCGCUGCAUUAGCUAGUUGGUAAGGUAACGGCUUACCAAGGCAACGAUGCAUAGCCGACCUGAGAGGGUGAUCGGCCACACUGGAAGUGAGACACGGUCCAGACUCCUACGGGAGGCAGCAGUAGGGAAUCUUCCGCAAUGGGCGAAAGCCGGACGGAGCAACGCCGCGUGAGUGAUGAAGGUCUUCGGAUCGUAAAACUCUGUUAUUAGGGAAGAACAUAUGUGUAAGUAACUGUGCACAUCUUGACGGUACCUAAUCAGAAAGCCACGGCUAACUACGUG